This 98-nucleotide ribosomal RNA is filed under the name uncultured bacterium. RNAcentral's name for it is "partial 16S ribosomal RNA". It matches the Rfam family "Bacterial small subunit ribosomal RNA", at positions 1386 to 1482 of the family's 1533-position model. The record is from RNAcentral.
CACACCGCCCGUCACAUCAUGAAAGCCGGUUGUACCCGAAGUCGCCGUGUUAACCGCAAGGAGACAGGUGGCCGAAGGUAUGGCUGGUGAUUGGAGUG